This 508-nucleotide ribosomal RNA is filed under the name Streptomyces sp. 310E12. RNAcentral's name for it is "bacterial SSU rRNA". It matches the Rfam family "Bacterial small subunit ribosomal RNA", at positions 93 to 615 of the family's 1533-position model. The record is from RNAcentral. Lineage: Bacteria; Bacillati; Actinomycetota; Actinomycetes; Kitasatosporales; Streptomycetaceae.
UAGUGGCGAACGGGUGAGUAACACGUGGGCAAUCUGCCCUUCACUCUGGGACAAGCCCUGGAAACGGGGUCUAAUACCGGAUAACACUCUGUCCCGCAUGGGACGGGGUUGAAAGCUCCGGCGGUGAAGGAUGAGCCCGCGGCCUAUCAGCUUGUUGGUGGGGUGAUGGCCUACCAAGGCGACGACGGGUAGCCGGCCUGAGAGGGCGACCGGCCACACUGGGACUGAGACACGGCCCAGACUCCUACGGGAGGCAGCAGUGGGGAAUAUUGCACAAUGGGCGAAAGCCUGAUGCAGCGACGCCGCGUGAGGGAUGACGGCCUUCGGGUUGUAAACCUCUUUCAGCAGGGAAGAAGCGAGAGUGACGGUACCUGCAGAAGAAGCGCCGGCUAACUACGUGCCAGCAGCCGCGGUAAUACGUAGGGCGCAAGCGUUGUCCGGAAUUAUUGGGCGUAAAGAGCUCGUAGGCGGCUUGUUGCGUCGGUUGUGAAAGCCCGGGGCUUAACCC